Molecule: long non-coding RNA, 461 nt
Organism: Cygnus olor (mute swan)
Lineage: Eukaryota; Metazoa; Chordata; Aves; Anseriformes; Anatidae
Exons: 3
Source: RefSeq, a predicted model, not a curated record
GCUGAGAUGAUAGUGAUCUACUUUUUUUUUCCUACUUGAAUUCUCUCUGCUUAGGUUUAUGCAUUAACCCCUGCUUGAGGAGUUCUCUGCACACAUGGUGCUGUGUCCCAUCUCCAUCUGGAAGGGGUGAGGCACCUGCAGUGAGGAUUCCCACCAUCAUCUCAUAGUGGAUUCAUAAGACAUCCUACAUCCAAAGACCUUUGAUUCUUGACACAUCUCAAAAAGAUGCAAAAGUGGCACUUCCCCUACAAAGGCUCCACCACAGCACAAGGAACAACCUAUGUUUUAUCACUGUUUCUGCAGUGAAAAGAAAAGCAGCCAGAUGUUGUGCAUUGCUCUAUGCAGCAGCACCAGAUCACUCAGUUCAAAGUAAAGGUGUUUUUUUCCUUAUUUGCAUGAAAGUAAAAACGUAUCCUGAAUUGCAAACUAUUUACCACCUGAGAAAAUGAAAAAAAUCAAAA